CCUUGAUGCUGCUCCUGUCUGCACGUGAUCCUCCAGAGCAAGACCAGAGGCAAUCCAGGGAAGACUGCUGGGAUGAAUACCUUCCAUCCUCUCCCUAUGUACCAGAAAUGGGAUCGUCUGACAGUGCCCAAUGGGCUGGAGGCUGUGAGCAUGGAGAGCAAGGGCUGCCUGAGCAGCGGACGGUGAAGAGACAGAUGGGACAUCGUUGGAACGCAGGCCCAAGGAGAGGCCCCGUGCAGCUCUCUUCAGGGACCAUCCCGGGGUGCUCGACCUGUCCCUGCAAGAAGAACACCCAUCACCACCAAUCUCUUCAUGCGUCUGCCCGUUGGCCACCUUUCCUACCCACCACCAGCCCAACCUGCUUCCUCCCCACACAUCUUGGCCUUGUGGCACUCCUAGCCCCACACUGUGGCCAUGCUGCAUCCUUCUAUCUGUCCUGUAUCAUCUUCUGCUUCUCCACUGGUAUGUGGAGCAUGGGCAGACUGUGCCUGUUCUCUCCUCAGGGCCUUUGCUUCCCUGGCUUUUCCCAGCUGGCACCCACAUGCACACAGCUGUGCAGAUCCUUCCCAAAUAACAGCCUUCAUCCUGUGGGAUGGAAUAAACCUCCUUUCCACACACAGACUUCAAUGGCUGCCUCCUGCAUCUUCUUUGUCCUCCUCCUCCUAAGAACCCCCUCACACCAUGAGCACAAAACAUCACCUUGCACCUGGCAGUCCACACACCUGGAUGAUGCCAUCUCCCAUGUCAGCCUUUAGUGCUGAGCAAGAGUUGUCCAACUUCCAAGCACCUCUGAUGGAGCCAGUCUAAUAAAGCUGUGCUAACCCUGAGUCAAAAGUGCCACCUUUGCUACCCAAAUUAACACAAUUGGUUCCCAAAGUGCCACCCAUAGUACCAAGCCUGAUACCUACACUACCCAAAGUGCCGUUUACUGAUACCCAGCCUAACAGCUACAGUACCCCAAGUGCCACCUACAACACCCAACCUAACCCCUCUGGUUCCCAAAGUGCCACCCACAGCAGCCAUGCUAACACCAAUGAUAUCCAACCUAACACCACUUCAAGUGCCACCUACUCUACCCAGCCUGACACCUCCAAUGCCCAAUGUACCACCUCUGCUGCCCAACCUAACACCUGCGGUUCCCAAAGUGCCACCUACCACAGGAUCCAACCUGACAACUGUAAUACACAAAGUGCCACCCACAAUACCCAGCCUAACACUAUGAUACCCAACCUAACACCUAUGACACCCAAAGUAACACUGACACUACCCAAUCUAACACCUAUGACAGCCAACCUAAUGCCACCUCAAGUGCCACCUACUCUACCCAGCCUGACACCUCUGGUUCCCAAAGUGCCACCCUACAGGAUCCAACCUAACACCUGUAAUACCCAAAGUGACACCAGCACUACCCAAACUAACACCUUUGUUAUACCAUCUAACCCCUAUGCUUCCCAACCUGAAACCUGCAAUAGGCAAAUUGCACCUGCAGCUACCCAGCCUGACACCUACACUUCCCCUCCUGCCACUGCCUGCACCCCUUAACUACUGCCUGUAUCCCUGCCAAGAGGACAACCUGCAAAUACCCUACACUGUGUCCCCAGUGUGUCCUUACCUGCACGGGGCCUCUCCUUGGGCCUGCGUUCCAACGAUGUCCCAUCUGUCUCUUCACCGUCCGCUGCUCAGGCAGCCCUUGCUCUCCAUGCUCACGGCCUCCAGCCCAUUGGGCACCUGCAGGGUUCAAAGGCACAAGAUGAUGCUUAGAGUGCAAUGUGCUGUGCUCCUGCCCUUCCCACCAGCCAAGUCCCCUUCAUGUCUCCCUUGUAGUGAGGGGCCCAGAACUUAACAAUAUACAACAGAAAAUGCAUAAUAUAAAUUAAAUACAUGAUAACACAAGUCCUACUACUAAUAAUGAUAAGGGAAGUAACAAGGGGACAGAAUGUAAAGCUAAAGGGGACAAAAGGGAAGGUUAAAACCAAUGAACACAAGUGAUGCACAAUGCAAUGGCUCAGCAGCCACCAACCGAUACCAGCCCGACCCAAGCAGCGAUCGCUGCCUUCCAGGUAACUCCCCCCAGUUCCUAUCCUGGGCAUGACGUGCUGUGGGAUGGGAUGAUCCUUUGGCUCCUUUGGGACAGGUGUCCUGGCUCUGCUCCCUCCCAGCUUCCAGUGCCCCUCCUCACUGGCACAGCACAAGAGUCUGACAAGUCCUGGGAUCGGGCUAAGUACCACACAGCAAGAGCU
This is a long non-coding RNA of Melopsittacus undulatus (budgerigar), 2240 nucleotides long. The record is from Ensembl. NCBI's taxonomy places the organism in Eukaryota, Metazoa, Chordata, Aves, Psittaciformes, Psittaculidae.